RNAcentral lists this long non-coding RNA (456 nucleotides) under Ananas comosus (pineapple). Its description in RNAcentral is "long non-coding RNA (ACOM_LNC020405)". Lineage: Eukaryota; Viridiplantae; Streptophyta; Magnoliopsida; Poales; Bromeliaceae. The record is from RNAcentral.
GUUCCAAACUUUAAUGCUCGCGAGUCUUUUAGCCACCGUUUGGUUCGGGAUUAAGAAAAAGUAGCUAUUCCAGGAAUAGGGUUAAGUUCAGAGUUAAAAUGGUGUUAAAAUUUUUUUGUGUUUGGUUGGAGGUUGGAGUUAGUCUAAGAUAGUGAAAAAAAGUAUUUAGUUGGAGUAGGUGGGAUAAAAAGAUAAUGAUUGAUAAAGAAGAAAAAUGUGAGGGCUCGGGAUGCGUGCGGGAUUAAAGUUGGGAGGGGGAGUGGGGUUAGUAAACCCUACUAACCCGGUUUGGGGUGGGGUUUACUAACCCCACCCUUUAAGAGUGGUGUUUGGGUAUAAAUUGGGGGUUAAGGGAUUAUUCCACCUCUUAAUCCCCAACCAAACGGUGGCUUAAUGUGUUUUAGUGAUAGUGUUCAAUUGCUGCUGAAAAAAAUAAAUAAAAGAAAACUAAAAUAU